Molecule: non-coding RNA, 630 nt
Organism: Coffea arabica (coffee)
Lineage: Eukaryota; Viridiplantae; Streptophyta; Magnoliopsida; Gentianales; Rubiaceae
Source: RefSeq, a predicted model, not a curated record
GCAAAGGGUGAUGACAAGAUGAAAAUUGGAAUAUGAGAGAGAAGACACCCAAUUUAUGUCGAGAUGUAACAGAAUGAGAGAAGCUAUAAGUGAUGCUGCUCUGACAUUGCCCUACUGGAAUAAUUACAACAAGAUGCAGAAUACAGAUCUGAGGUGGACAACAAUUACCCAGUGAGUCCACCAUGGUAUGGUCUAUGCUCCAAUAGGAUACACAUUUGGAGCAGGAAUGUUUUAAGAUAGACGGCCUGAGAGGAGGUUCCCCUUAUGGAGCAGGAGUUUUCUUAGGAGACCACACAAGGGAACCCACUGAAACAAAGCCCACACUGGUGGAGCACCUGGGAAAGUAUAUGGCAUUGAUGGCGAAGAGGUUUGCCCUGCCUCAUUCCUUCACAAAUGAUCACAAAGACAGUAGCUAGCCCCUGCAAAAGCCGUUUUGGUUGUUAUGCUAUUGUAUAUUGUAAUUCCAUUUUUUGCCUUGUAUCUAUACCAAUGGCACUUUACCUUUGUGAUUUUGGAGGGUGUGAGAGCAUACUCCUUGUGUGUAAAUAGUUGACAAAAUUGGUACUCAUUCCAAAGCGGAUCGGUAUUUGUGCAUUCUUUGUUCACAGGAGGUUCCCAAGUAUGCAAUGU